AACGAACGCUGGCGGCAUGCCUAACACAUGCAAGUCGAACGAGACCUUCGGGUCUAGUGGCGCACGGGUGCGUACCGCGUGGGAACCUGCCCUUAGGUUCGGAAUAACUCCCCGAAAGGGGUGCUAAUACCGGAUAAUGUCUUCGGACCAAAGAUUUAUCGCCUUUGGAUGGGCCCGCGUUGGAUUAGCGAGUUGGUAGGGUAAAAGCCUACCAAGGCGACGAUCCAUAGCUGGUCUGAGAGGAUGAUCAGCCACACUGGGACUGAGACACGGCCCAGACUCCUACGGGAGGCAGCAGUGGGGAAUAUUGGACAAUGGACGAAAGCCUGAUCCAGCAAUGCCGCGUGAGUGAUGAAGGCCUUAGGGUUGUAAAGCUCUUUUACCCGGGAUGAUAAUGACAGUACCGGGAGAAUAAGCUCCGGCUAACUCCGUG
This 433-nucleotide ribosomal RNA is filed under the name uncultured bacterium. RNAcentral's name for it is "partial 16S ribosomal RNA". It matches the Rfam family "Bacterial small subunit ribosomal RNA", at positions 29 to 507 of the family's 1533-position model. The record is from RNAcentral.